Pieris rapae (cabbage white) is the source of this 1586-nucleotide long non-coding RNA. RefSeq lists it as uncharacterized. The record is from RefSeq and is a predicted model, not a curated record. NCBI's taxonomy places the organism in Eukaryota, Metazoa, Arthropoda, Insecta, Lepidoptera, Pieridae. The transcript is spliced from 2 exons.
CAAUUGAGACAGUUCUUCAAGCUUAGAACGGAGAGGAUGGUUGGUAUAUUGAAGGGAGCGAAAUAUGAAUUUAUCAGAUAAAUAUUGUCGCCUAAGAUAUAAUGGGGCAUCAACACAUUCUACUUGUAAAGCAUUAAUUGGACUAGUUUUCAUAGCUCCUGUAAUAAAUCUUAAUGCCUUAGACUGUAUAUUAUCUAAUUUUUUAAAACGGGUUGUAUUUCCAGGAGAUAAUAAAAAGGUACCAUAGUCUAAAAUACUUCGGAUUAAAGCGUUGUACAUAAGUUUCAUACAAAAGGGAUGGGCACCCCACCAUACACCGGAUAAACAUCUAAGGAUGUUUAGGUUUCGCUCACACCUAUUAAAAAUGUAGUCACAAUGAUGUACGCCAGAUAGCUUAGAAUCUAAAAACACACCGAGGAACUUUACAGAGUUUUUAACAGGGAUAAUAAUACUACCAAAAUACACAGUGAUCGGAGGAGGAAGUCGCUUUCUAGAAAAAAGCAUGGCAACACUUUUAGUGGGGGAUAUUUCAAGACCAUUAGUAUCAAGCCAUGUUUUUAAUAAAUUAAGAGAAUGAGACAGUACUGAGCAAGCAAUGGCCGGUGAUUGAUGAAUGGAAUAAAGUAAAAGGUCAUCAGCAUACUGAAGAAUACAAAUCCGAUUUCCAAAAGAAGCUUUCAAAUCAUGGGUAUAAAUAUUAUAUAAAAUGGGACUUAAUACUGAUCCUUGAGGAAGACCUCUCCAUAAGGUUCUAGUUACAGCAGUAGAGUCUUGUGAAAUUAGAGUGAUGUGUCUUUCAUAUAAAUUAUUUAUGAUAAAAUUUGAUAACAUUACAGGUACAUUUAAAUACUGUAGUUUUUUAUGGAGAACUGACAACACUACAUUGUCAUAAGCAGAUUGUACAUCUAAAAAAGUGGCAACAACAGAAUCAUUCCUUGAAAAUGCUAAAUAAAUGUCAGUGGUAAAGAUGGCAAUACUGUCCAUCGUGCUCUUUCCUCGACGAAAACCAAAUUGACUGUCGCAAAGUAAAUUAUUGCUUUCUAAAAACCAUUCAAGACGAGUUUUCACCAAAUGUUCACAGAGUUUUAUCAAGACCGAAGAUAAUGCAAUAGGACGAUAUGAAUUUGCAUUGGAGGGAUUCUUAUUAGGAAAUAUUCAAGACUGUGGUCGCCUAAAUGAGAGAUGAAAGAAUAUGGGAUUCCAUCUUCACCAGGAGCAGAGUCUAUAAGGGAAGAUAGUAUUCCUUUAAAUUCAUACAUAGAAAAUGGACUAUUGAGACCAGAGGGGUUUAAUGGCAUCAGAGGCAUAAUUAUUCUUUCAGGAACUGUAGUAGGAGCAAGUCUGUCGAGGAAUUGAUUAGUUAAUGAAUCGGGGAAAGAACCAGAGGUUUCAGUAAAAGCACACCUGAAUCUUCUAAUAUUACGCCAUACCACUGAAGGACGGACAUUAGGGGAAAUAGAGAGGCAAAAAGUUUUCCAGCUAUCUGCUUUUUUCUUUUUGAAUAAUAAACUAGUGGUCUUGAAAGCAUCUGUAACCAGAUCAAAAUUUUCAGAUGUACAAUUCUCAUAAUAUUGAAGCUCAGCUUG